GAUGAACGCUGGCGGCGUGCCUAAUACAUGCAAGUCGAGCGAACGGACGAGAAGCUUGCUUUUCUGAUGUUAGCGGCGGACGGGUGAGUAACACGUGGAUAACCUACCUAUAAGACUGGGAUAACUUCGGGAAACCGGAGCUAAUACCGGAUAAUAUUUUGAACCGCAUGGUUCAAAAGUGAAAGACGGUCUUGCUGUCACUUAUAGAUGAAUCCGCGCUGCAUUAGCUAGUUGGUAAGGUAACGGCUCACCAAGGCAACGAUGCAUAGCCGACCUGAGAGGGUGAUCGGCCACACUGGAACUGAGACACGGUCCAGACUCCUACGGGAGGCAGCAGUAGGGAAUCUUCCGCAAUGGGCGAAAGCCUGACGGAGCAACGCCGCGUGAGUGAUGAAGGUCUUCGGAUCGUAAAACUCUGUUAUUAGGGAAGAACAUAUGUGUAAGUAACUGUGCACAUCUUGACGGUACCUAAUCAGAAAGCCACGGCUAACUACGUG
Molecule: ribosomal RNA, 497 nt
Filed under: uncultured bacterium
Lineage: Bacteria
Description: partial 16S ribosomal RNA
Rfam family: Bacterial small subunit ribosomal RNA
Source: RNAcentral